GGUUAUCGUACUGAUCCGAGGUCACCUUGAGAAAAGUUCAGAAGGUUCGUCCGGCGGGCGACGCCCGGAGGUCCGUCGGAUGUAUGUUUACUACGCUUGAGGCAAGACGCCACGCGAGGCUUUAGUGGUUUUCUCCUCUGAGUGACACAUAAACAAAUAAAUAAAAACUUUCAACAACGGAUCUUGGUUCUGGCAUCGAUGAAGAACGCAGCGAAAUGCGAUAAGUAAUGUGAAUUGCUGAAUUCUGUGAAUCAUCGAAUCUUUGAACGCACAUUGCGCCCGCCAGUAUCAAGAGAUCCGUUGUUGAAAGUUUUAGUUUAUUAAAUGUUUUUCAGACUGCAUCGUUUACUGACUGGAGUCGGCCCAGCCUUCUCGCAAGGCCGCCGGCCCCGAAAUCUAGUGGCGGUCUCGCUGUAGUCCUCCUCUGCGUAGUAGCACAACCUCGCAGUUGGAACGGCCGGACCCCAUGCCGUUAAACACCCCACUUCUGAAAGUUGACCUCGGGAUCAGGUAGGAAUACCCGCUGAACUUAAGCAUAUCAAUAAGCCGUGUGUG
RNAcentral lists this ribosomal RNA (555 nucleotides) under Myrothecium sp. M6-CA-301. RNAcentral's name for it is "eukaryotic LSU rRNA". The stretch from base 166 to 313 matches the Rfam family "5.8S ribosomal RNA". The record is from RNAcentral. Lineage: Eukaryota; Fungi; Ascomycota; Sordariomycetes; Hypocreales; Stachybotryaceae.